UACGUGUAAAUUUAUUCUUCAAAUGCAUUUCAUAAAAUUCUUUCAACUCGUGGUGAAAUUAAUCGCUUUAUGUCAAACGAGCGUUCCGGUCUAUUUGAUAAUUCUUUCGCAUUGCGUAAGUUAACUGGAAUGCAGGAAGAACGUUGAGAAUCGUAAUUCGUAAAAUGUUAUAGCAAAAAUUCACAAGUCAACCCUCCUAAUCAGUUUUUUUUUUUUUAUAAGUGAAAGAAAAUUUAGUAGAUAUUAAAACACUAGUAACGAAACGCUAGAGCUUAUCAGCUUGCGCUUUCUGCCGCUAGUGUUUCAAUGUCCACAAAUAAUAUAUUUUCAUUUGCGAAAGAAAAAUUAAUUUUAGAGAUAAUUUGAAAACUUCUGUGAUUAUAUCGUUUUAAUUAGAUUCGUAGCGUUAAUAUUAUGUCCUAUUUGACUUCGAAAACUAUGGGAAUGAAUGUUUAAAAACAAAUUUAGUACCAGUACUUUGUCGAUAGAUGACGCUACUCUCAAUGGCGGCAUGUUUAAAACAAAGUAUUCAAUGAUCUGUUUCGUUUACUUGUUGAGUAGAGACCACGAGGAUCACCAUAAACUGGAUCAAAUGCAGAAAAUGAAAAUCUUGUCGGCGUAACUGGAGUCCUUGGAGUUGACAUAGUUGUACUAUUUAACGGAGGUGAACAGGGUGUACUAGUUUUUUUCAAUUGAGGAGGGCACUUAUCAGC
Molecule: long non-coding RNA, 713 nt
Organism: Frieseomelitta varia
Lineage: Eukaryota; Metazoa; Arthropoda; Insecta; Hymenoptera; Apidae
Exons: 2
Source: RefSeq, a predicted model, not a curated record